RNAcentral lists this small RNA (539 nucleotides) under Pongo abelii (Sumatran orangutan). RNAcentral's name for it is "processed transcript". Lineage: Eukaryota; Metazoa; Chordata; Mammalia; Primates; Hominidae. The record is from RNAcentral.
CUGGCGCCCAGCCGCCGCCCCUUCCGCCCCCGGCCCUGCGCCCUCGGGCUCUGCGGUCCCCGCAGACCGUCUCUCAACCUCGGUGGGCCUGGCCGCCGUGGAUUCCUUCUUCUCGGUUUCAGCGGUCGUCAGCCUUGCCCCAACGGGUGAGACACAGUAACCCGGUUGAACUCUGCAUCUGGAAAGCUGAAGACUGAAGAAAGAUAAGAGACAUUGACUAGUCUGGAAACAGGGACAUCUUUGGAACUUCGUUUUCAUCCACAGUAAACUUUUGAAGUGUCAUCAAUUGGAAUUGAUUUCUUCAUCUUAUUCUGCCUAUUGGGAAGAACAUGGCUUCAAGGAUUUUAAGUUUCCCUUUAGUUUUACAUGAACUCUAUAGGAAACAGAGCCCUUAAAGGGCUUGGGAAUAACAAGAAGAGAUUGAAGACAGACAAGCUUGCCCUGUUUUCCUUGACCCUUCAAAGAAAAGGAUUUACAGCUCAAACUUACAACAGCUGUUGUCCAGCUUUAGCCAUCAAGAGAGAAAUAAAUUAAACCAC